Molecule: non-coding RNA, 63 nt
Organism: Rattus norvegicus (Norway rat)
Lineage: Eukaryota; Metazoa; Chordata; Mammalia; Rodentia; Muridae
Source: Rfam
GGGGAUUUAGCUCAGUGGUAGAGCGCUUGCCUAGCAAGCACAAGGCCCUGAGUUCAGUCCCCA